RNAcentral lists this ribosomal RNA (1501 nucleotides) under Klebsiella sp. QZ33S. RNAcentral's name for it is "bacterial SSU rRNA". It matches the Rfam family "Bacterial small subunit ribosomal RNA". Lineage: Bacteria; Pseudomonadati; Pseudomonadota; Gammaproteobacteria; Enterobacterales; Enterobacteriaceae. The record is from RNAcentral.
AGAGUUUGAUCCUGGCUCAGAUUGAACGCUGGCGGCAGGCCUAACACAUGCAAGUCGAGCGGUAGCACAGAGAGCUUGCUCUCGGGUGACGAGCGGCGGACGGGUGAGUAAUGUCUGGGAAACUGCCUGAUGGAGGGGGAUAACUACUGGAAACGGUAGCUAAUACCGCAUAACGUCGCAAGACCAAAGUGGGGGACCUUCGGGCCUCAUGCCAUCAGAUGUGCCCAGAUGGGAUUAGCUGGUAGGUGGGGUAACGGCUCACCUAGGCGACGAUCCCUAGCUGGUCUGAGAGGAUGACCAGCCACACUGGAACUGAGACACGGUCCAGACUCCUACGGGAGGCAGCAGUGGGGAAUAUUGCACAAUGGGCGCAAGCCUGAUGCAGCCAUGCCGCGUGUGUGAAGAAGGCCUUCGGGUUGUAAAGCACUUUCAGCGGGGAGGAAGGCGGUGAGGUUAAUAACCUCAUCGAUUGACGUUACCCGCAGAAGAAGCACCGGCUAACACCGUGCCAGCAGCCGCGGUAAUACGGAGGGUGCAAGCGUUAACCGGAAUUACUGGGCGUAAAGCGCACGCAGGCGGUCUGUCAAGUCGGAUGUGAAAUCCCCGGGCUCAACCUGGGAACUGCAUUCGAAACUGGCAGGCUAGAGUCUUGUAGAGGGGGGUAGAAUUCCAGGUGUAGCGGUGAAAUGCGUAGAGAUCUGGAGGAAUACCGGUGGCGAAGGCGGCCCCCUGGACAAAGACUGACGCUCAGGUGCGAAAGCGUGGGGAGCAAACAGGAUUAGAUACCCUGGUAGUCCACGCUGUAAACGAUGUCGAUUUGGAGGUUGUGCCCUUGAGGCGUGGCUUCCGGAGCUAACGCGUUAAAUCGACCGCCUGGGGAGUACGGCCGCAAGGUUAAAACUCAAAUGAAUUGACGGGGGCCCGCACAAGCGGUGGAGCAUGUGGUUUAAUUCGAUGCAACGCGAAGAACCUUACCUGGUCUUGACAUCCACAGAACUUUCCAGAGAUGGAUUGGUGCCUUCGGGAACUGUGAGACAGGUGCUGCAUGGCUGUCGUCAGCUCGUGUUGUGAAAUGUUGGGUUAAGUCCCGCAACGAGCGCAACCCUUAUCCUUUGUUGCCAGCGGUUAGGCCGGGAACUCAAAGGAGACUGCCAGUGAUAAACUGGAGGAAGGUGGGGAUGACGUCAAGUCAUCAUGGCCCUUACGACCAGGGCUACACACGUGCUACUAUGGCAUAUACAAAGAGAAGCGACCUCGCGAGAGCAAGCGGACCUCAUAAAGUAUGUCGUAGUCCGGAUUGGAGUCUGCAACUCGACUCCAUGAAGUCGGAAUCGCUAGUAAUCGUAGAUCAGAAUGCUACGGUGAAUACGUUCCCGGGCCUUGUACACACCGCCCGUCACACCAUGGGAGUGGGUUGCAAAAGAAGUAGGUAGCUUAACCUUCGGGAGGGCGCUUACCACUUUGUGGUUCAUGACUGGGGUGAAGUCGUAACAAGGUAACC